Brachypodium distachyon (stiff brome) is the source of this 697-nucleotide long non-coding RNA. RefSeq lists it as uncharacterized. The transcript is spliced from 3 exons. The record is from RefSeq and is a predicted model, not a curated record. NCBI's taxonomy places the organism in Eukaryota, Viridiplantae, Streptophyta, Magnoliopsida, Poales, Poaceae.
AAUGCAGAUGCCGCCGUCGCCCGCUCCGGAACUCCGGAAGUAUUAACCGGAACCGGAGAUUUCACCUGGAGAGCUGGAGAGCUGGAGAGCUGGCCGCGGUGAAACAAGGGGAGCUCCGCAACGGCACCUCCUCCAAAAAGGAGAACGACGCCCAAGCGCUGCAUGCUCUCGCCGGCUCCGGCCAAUGGAGACGCAGGCCACAGAGAUAAAAAAGGCUUCGUGAUAAUUUUCCUCAAAAGUUCUUGGGAAAAUAAAUCUAUGUGUUGCAAACGGGCCAUGGAGACAGCAUGCAAGUAUGCAACCGGCCACAGAGAAACCAGUACUAGAAUCAUGCAUUUUUUUUCAUUCAAGCAUCAGGAUCAUGCAGAUUUUACUACAUGGCCUUUUCCUAUUUUUCUCUCUCACAAAAAGGUGUUUCUUUUGGUUUUGGGUACCUCUUACUAGUUAGUAGUAGUACCAGUUUAACCAGGAAAGCAAGGCAGCAACAGGUGCAGUUCAGAAAUCCAGGCAGCUUCAGUGAUGCUAUAGAGGAUUAAUUAAUGAGGAUGCUGGAUGCGCAACCAAAUCAUGAUAAACCAAAGGCGAGACAGUGUUGUGUUUUUUUGCUGCUUCAACAUUUCGUAAACCGAGGGACGCACUUUGUCCCAGCGGUAUAUGCUGCCGUCUUGGGAGCAGGCAAGGAUCAUGCUGAAGAAGG